GCCCAGACCACCAGCUAAGGUCCCAAAAUAUAUGUUAAGUGGAAAAGGAUGUGGCGUUGCCCAGACAACUAGGAUGUUGGCUUAGAAGCAGCCAUCAUUUAAAGAGUGCGUAAUAGCUCACUAGUCGAGUGACACUGCGCCGAAAAUGUACCGGGGCUAAACAUAUUACCGAAGCUGUGGAUUGUCCUUUGGACAAUGGUAGGAGAGCGUUCUAAGGGCGUUGAAGCAUGAUCGUAAGGACAUGUGGAGCGCUUAGAAGUGAGAAUGCCGGUGUGAGUAGCGAAAGACGGGUGAGAAUCCCGUCCACCGAUUGACUAAGGUUUCCAGAGGAAGGCUCGUCCGCUCUGGGUUAGUCGGGUCCUAAGCUGAGGCCGACAGGCGUAGGCGAUGGAUAACAGGUUGAUAUUCCUGUACCACCUAUAAUCGUUUUAAUCGAUGGGGGGACGCAGUAGGAUAGGCGAAGCGUGCGAUUGGAUU
This 477-nucleotide ribosomal RNA is filed under the name Staphylococcus aureus. RNAcentral's name for it is "partial 23S ribosomal RNA". It matches the Rfam family "Bacterial large subunit ribosomal RNA", at positions 1025 to 1504 of the family's 2925-position model. The record is from RNAcentral. Lineage: Bacteria; Bacillati; Bacillota; Bacilli; Caryophanales; Staphylococcaceae.